GAUGGACGCUGGCGGCGUGCCUAAUACAUGCAAGUCGAGCGAACGGACGAGAAGCUUGCUUCUCUGAUGUUAGCGGCGGACGGGUGAGUAACACGUGGAUAACCUACCUAUAAGACUGGGAUAACUUCGGGAAACCGGAGCUAAUACCGGAUAAUAUUUUGAACCGCAUGGUUCAAAAGUGAAAGACGGUCUUGCUGUCACUUAUAGAUGGAUCCGCGCUGCAUUAGCUAGUUGGUAAGGUAACGGCUUACCAAGGCAACGAUGCAUAGCCGACCUGAGAGGGUGAUCGGCCACACUGGAACUGAGACACGGUCCAGACUCCUACGGGAGGCAGCAGUAGGGAAUCUUCCGCAAUGGGCGAAAGCCUGACGGAGCAACGCCGCGUGAGUGAUGAAGGUCUUCGGAUCGUAAAACUCUGUUAUUAGGGAAGAACAUAUGUGUAAGUAACUGUGCACAUCUUGACGGUACCUAAUCAGAAAGCCACGGCUAACUACG
This 495-nucleotide ribosomal RNA is filed under the name uncultured bacterium. RNAcentral's name for it is "partial 16S ribosomal RNA". It matches the Rfam family "Bacterial small subunit ribosomal RNA", at positions 28 to 505 of the family's 1533-position model. The record is from RNAcentral.